GUAGAUGCUCAUUCCACCUCUUAUGUUCGCCUUAGGCUUCAUAAACCCUGGGAAUGACGCAGAGCCGAUUUAGGGUGCCUAUCGCCCACGAGAACGAUGACUAACCCGUCAUCACGCUCAGGGCAGAACGUUGAGUGAGGCACCGCCCCUGUUGUCCUAGACCUGAUUGCUUCUUUAUACACUUGCCAUACGGCAAGUGUUUUUUU
Molecule: non-coding RNA, 206 nt
Organism: Serratia marcescens subsp. marcescens Db11
Lineage: Bacteria; Pseudomonadati; Pseudomonadota; Gammaproteobacteria; Enterobacterales; Yersiniaceae
Source: Rfam